RNAcentral lists this ribosomal RNA (828 nucleotides) under fungal endophyte. Its description in RNAcentral is "eukaryotic LSU rRNA". The stretch from base 499 to 828 matches the Rfam family "Eukaryotic large subunit ribosomal RNA", at positions 1 to 333 of the family's 3401-position model. The record is from RNAcentral. Lineage: Eukaryota; Fungi.
CAUUAAAGAGUUCUAUAACUCCCAAACCCAUGUGAACAUACCUAACGUUGCCUCGGCAGGUCGCACCUACCUUGUAGCACCCUACCCUGUAGGGCCUACCCGGGAGGUGCGGGUAAGCCUGCCGGCGGCCCACCAAACUCUGUUUGAUAUUGAAUUCUGAACCUAUAACUAAAUAAGUUAAAACUUUCAACAACGGAUCUCUUGGUUCUGGCAUCGAUGAAGAACGCAGCGAAAUGCGAUAAGUAAUGUGAAUUGCAGAAUUCAGUGAAUCAUCGAAUCUUUGAACGCAUAUUGCGCCCAUUAGUAUUCUAGUGGGCAGGACCGUUCGAGCGUCAUUUCAACCCUUAAGCCUUCGUUGCUUAGUGUUGGGAGCCUACGGCAACGUAGCUCCUCAAAGUUAGUGGCGGAGUUGGUUCACACUCUAGACGUAGUAAUUUUUUAUCUCGCCUAUUAGUUGGACUAAUCCCCUGCCGUAAAACCCCCAAUUUAUAUCAAGGUUGACCUCGAAUCGGUUCAGACAAACUCGCUAAAUUGAAGCAUCUUAGUCAGCGAAGGAAAAGAAACCAACAGGGAUUGCCCUAGUAACGGCGAGUGAAGCGGCAACAGCUCAAAUUUGAAAUCUGGCCCUCGGGUCCGAGUUGUAAUUUGUAGAGGAUGCUUUUGGCGCGGUGCCUUCCGAGUUCCCUGGAACGGGACGCCUUAGAGGGUGAGAGCCCCGUACGGUUGGACACCAAGCCUCUGUAAAGCUCCUUCGACGAGUCGAGUAGCUUGGGAAUGCUGCUCUAAAUGGGAGGUAAAUUUCUUCUAAAGCUAAAUAUUGGCCAGAGA